This 493-nucleotide ribosomal RNA is filed under the name uncultured bacterium. RNAcentral's name for it is "partial 16S ribosomal RNA". It matches the Rfam family "Bacterial small subunit ribosomal RNA", at positions 29 to 523 of the family's 1533-position model. The record is from RNAcentral.
AUUGAACGCUGGCGGCAUGCUUUACACAUGCAAGUCGAACGGUAACAGGUUAAGCUGACGAGUGGCGAACGGGUGAGUAAUGCAUCGGAACGUGCCCGAUCGUGGGGGAUAACGCAGCGAAAGCUGCGCUAAUACCGCAUACGAUCUGAGGAUGAAAGCGGGGGACCGUAAGGCCUCGCGCGAUCGGAGCGGCCGAUGUCAGAUUAGGUAGUUGGUGGGGUAAAGGCUCACCAAGCCAACGAUCUGUAGCUGGUCUGAGAGGACGACCAGCCACACUGGGACUGAGACACGGCCCAGACUCCUACGGGAGGCAGCAGUGGGGAAUUUUGGACAAUGGGCGAAAGCCUGAUCCAGCAAUGCCGCGUGCAGGAAGAAGGCCUUCGGGUCGUAAACUGCUUUCGUACGGAGCGAAAAGGCUCUCUCUAAUACAGGGGGCUCAUGACGGUACCGUAAGAAUAAGCACCGGCUAACUACGUGCCAGCCGCCGCGGUAA